AUGCAGGAAAUAUAUUUGGCUUUUCCAGAGGGGCAGCAUCUUUAACAAAAGGAUGCUCCAAUAGCUCAGCAGCAGUAGGACGACUUUGUGGCUCACGCUGUAAACACUUCCUCACAAAAUCUUUUCCCUCGUCUGAAAGGUGUUCCGGGAUUGCUGGGAGUUCUUUACUGUUCCCAAUCUUAAACAUGGCCGUGGGUCACGCUGUAAACACUUCCUCACAAAAUCUUUUCCCUCGUCUGAAAGGUGUUCCGGGAUUGCUGGGAGCUCUUUACUGUUCCCAAUCUUAAACAUGGCAGCAACCUUUGGCCCAUACGACAUCAAACACCAUAUAAUACAGGUCAAGGGAAUGAACUGCUAUUGUAAAACAUGCUAGUCCAAAUUAUAUGAAAGCAAAAGUCCCAUCUUCCAACAAUGUUCAGAAAAAGAAAAAGUACAAAGAUGCUCUAAUGAAGCUUCUCUAAGCCAAAAUUACUUACUCC
RNAcentral lists this long non-coding RNA (479 nucleotides) under Nicotiana benthamiana. RNAcentral describes it as "long non-coding RNA (NBEN_LNC025652)". Lineage: Eukaryota; Viridiplantae; Streptophyta; Magnoliopsida; Solanales; Solanaceae. The record is from RNAcentral.